AUGGUGCAGACAAAUAAACAUGUUACUUUUCCCUUGGUCUAUCAUCUUCUAAAGUUAGUACUGAUAUUACCAGUUGCAACAGCAUCCGUGGAGAGAUGCUUUUCAGCUAUGAAUGUUGUCAAGAAAAAGUUGCGCAACAAAAUUGCUGAUAAGUUUGUCUAA
Molecule: ribosomal RNA, 162 nt
Filed under: Triticum aestivum (bread wheat)
Lineage: Eukaryota; Viridiplantae; Streptophyta; Magnoliopsida; Poales; Poaceae
Description: partial small subunit ribosomal RNA
Source: RNAcentral